GAUGAACGCUGGCGGCGUGCUUAACACAUGCAAGUCGAACGAGCUUUAUUACUACGAUCCCUUCGGGGUGACGGUUUUAAAGCGAGUGGCGGACGGGUGAGUAACGCGUGGAUAACCUGCCAUAUACUGGGGGAUAACAGCUGGAAACAGCUGCUAAUACCGCAUAAAACUGUAGAGUCGCAUGACUUUAUAGCCAAAGCUCCGGCGGUGUAUGAUGGAUCCGCGUCUGAUUAGGCAGUUGGCGGGGUAACGGCCCACCAAACCGACGAUCAGUAGCCGACCUGAGAGGGUNACCGGCCACAUUGGGA
This 308-nucleotide ribosomal RNA is filed under the name uncultured bacterium. Its description in RNAcentral is "bacterial SSU rRNA". It matches the Rfam family "Bacterial small subunit ribosomal RNA", at positions 28 to 318 of the family's 1533-position model. The record is from RNAcentral.